UGGCCAAGAGUAUCAAAACAUCUUAGGACACAGCAACGUUCGCUGGCUGUCCAUGCUCCCUGCUCUAGAAAGAGUGCUUAAAAUGUAUGCACCACUUAAAGGGACUCUUACCUUUGUUGCAUUUUUACACUUUUUUUGGAUAAGGUUAAACUGAAACUGCACCAUUCAGUCCGAUUAGGGGACUCAUCUCGGACUCAGACUAACAGAGUUACCCUCCUCUGGAGCCUCAGGAAGACCUCCAGACUGUUGGCCACCAACUGCACCAUUCAGUCCGACAAGGGGACCCGAUUCGGCCUCAGAAGCCAAGUGGUCCCGCUCCCCUGGAUGAUUCUCAGGACCUCCAGACCGUUGGCAACCAACCGCACCACUUAGUCCGAUUAGGGGACCCGUUUCGGACUCAGACGCAAAGUUGUCCCGCUACUCUGGAGCUCCGGGAAGACCUCCAGACCGUUGGCACCCAACCGCACCACUCAGUCCGAUUACGGGACCCAUUUCGGACUCAGACGCGACGUUGUCCCGCUACUCUGGAGCUACAGGAAGACCUCCAGACCGUUGGCACCCAACCGCACCACUCAGUCCGAUUACGGGACCCAUUUCGGACUCAGACGCGACGUUGUCCCGCUACUCUGGAGCUACAGGAAGACCUCCAGACCGUUGGCACCCAACCGCACCACUCAGUCCGAUUACGGGACCCAUUUCGGACUCAGACGCGACGUUGUCCCGCUACUCUGGAGCUACAGGAAGACCUCCAGACCGUUGGCACCCAACCGCACCAUUCAGUCCGAUUAGGGGACCCAUUUCGGCCUCAGACGCUACGUUGUCCCGCUACUCUGUUUGUAAUGCUCAUACACCUUUCUUAUACUCAGUGUAUCACACGAAGCCCAUAAAAUUACAGUGAGCCACCUGCUAAAUUUCUGGUUUACUAGACCCCUGGUAGAUAUUAUGACCCCUGGGAGUCUAAACAUAACCCAUGGGAGUCUAAACAUAACCCAUGGGAGUCUAGAACUUUUGUACUGUAGCGACCCUGGGACAGUUAAAUAGUUUGUGUGUUAUGUGUUACAUUAUAUUUCGUUGUCCGCUAUGCCAGUUGUUCUAUGUGCAUGUAUUGUAAUGUUCUUCUUGUCAAUCAGUGUGGGGGCGAAUCAUUAGGUCAGCUGGGGGAGGGCCUUGGAAGAACAGGAGGGUGGGGGCCUGCACGCGAGUGACACCGUGUUGGGGGUUGCCGGGGUAACCGGGGUUUGUUUUGUGUCGGUUUUCUGCCGUUGGUUACAAUGUUACGGGUUUCAGUGACCUGGUUUUGGUUCAUUAAAACUACAUUCAACUACUAAUGACUCGACAUCAUUAUGUCACCGGCGAGGUCGUUACAGUACUCACGCUU
Molecule: long non-coding RNA, 1378 nt
Filed under: Gadus morhua (Atlantic cod)
Lineage: Eukaryota; Metazoa; Chordata; Actinopteri; Gadiformes; Gadidae
Description: lncRNA (ENSGMOG00000030555.1)
Source: RNAcentral